RNAcentral lists this transfer RNA (75 nucleotides) under Cordylochernes scorpioides. RNAcentral describes it as "tRNA-Thr". The record is from RNAcentral. Lineage: Eukaryota; Metazoa; Arthropoda; Arachnida; Pseudoscorpiones; Chernetidae.
GUCCAGGGGGAUGGGAAUCGAACCCACAAUGUUCCGCUUACCGGGCAGAUGCCAUGUCCACUAGGCUACCCUGGA